UCAAGAACCCCAACAGGAGAGCUUGUAUCCGUCUUUUUCUCCAUAUCUAAAUGAUCGCACAACCUGCUAGGUCAACAUGAUUUAAAUGCAGAAAAUAUCAACAGAUGAUUGAGAGGCAAGAAGUGAAAUGAUAGAAAUUUCCUUUUUACCUGGAGCAGAAACAGAGACACAGGACAGAGUAUUGCACUUUCUUAUUGAUUCCAGGGACCACCUUCUUCACAAAGUACUCUAACCGAUUAAAAUGUUCUCUCUCAGAUUCAUAGGGGCGUGGACUUCAGAGAGCAGAAGCAAAAUCCUUCAGAGAGGGGGGACAAAGAGACACAGAGAGGGUGGCAGAGAACGUAGCAUAGAAG
Molecule: unclassified non-coding RNA, 353 nt
Filed under: Hevea brasiliensis (rubber tree)
Lineage: Eukaryota; Viridiplantae; Streptophyta; Magnoliopsida; Malpighiales; Euphorbiaceae
Source: RNAcentral